AGUCGAAACCGCUUCGGCGGUCUGCUGGAAAUGGUCUACCGGCACUGAUGAGACAGACCAAC
Molecule: non-coding RNA, 62 nt
Filed under: Bacillota bacterium
Lineage: Bacteria; Bacillati; Bacillota
Source: RNAcentral